AGCUCCAAUAGCGUAUAUUAAAGUUGUUGCAGUUAAAAAGCUCGUAGUUGAAUUUCUGAUAGGGCCCGCCUGGCGUUGAGUAUUUUACUCUUCUGACCGUGUGUGGGCUUGGUCAUCCUCUCCCUUUGUUUUAACGGAGGGAGUCGUUUACUGUAAAAAAAAUUGAGUGUUUCAAGCAAAAAGUAUUUUAGAAAAUAAUAGUAUGGAAUAAUAAGAUAGGACUUUGAUGCUAUUUUGUUGGUUUGCCAUCAGAGUAAUGAUUAAAAGGAACAAUUGGGGGUAUUCGUAUUCAAUUGCUAGAGGUGAAAUUCUUGGAUUUAUGGAAGACGAACGACUGCGAAGGCAUUUACCAAGGAUGUUUUCAUUA
Molecule: ribosomal RNA, 367 nt
Filed under: Japonochytrium sp.
Lineage: Eukaryota; Bigyra; Thraustochytrida; Thraustochytriidae
Description: partial small subunit ribosomal RNA
Rfam family: Eukaryotic small subunit ribosomal RNA
Source: RNAcentral